This is a non-coding RNA of Zootermopsis nevadensis, 73 nucleotides long. NCBI's taxonomy places the organism in Eukaryota, Metazoa, Arthropoda, Insecta, Blattodea, Termopsidae. The record is from Rfam.
GCCACGGUGGUCUAGCGGUUAGAACGCUGGUCUUGCAAUCCUGGGGUCUCGGGUUCGAUUCCCGGCGGUGCCC